Molecule: ribosomal RNA, 561 nt
Filed under: uncultured bacterium
Lineage: Bacteria
Description: bacterial SSU rRNA
Rfam family: Bacterial small subunit ribosomal RNA
Source: RNAcentral
CCGGGUGAGUAACGCGUGGGAAUCUGCCUUUAGAUGGGGGAUAACGGGCCGAAAGGUCCGCUAAUACCGCAUAUGCCGCAAGGUGAAAGGAGUAAUCCGUCUAAAGAUGAGCCCGCGUCCGAUUAGCUAGUUGGUAGAGUAAGAGCCUACCAAGGCGACGAUCGGUAGCUGGUCUGAGAGGAUGAUCAGCCACAAUGGGACUGAGACACGGCCCAUACUCCUACGGGAGGCAGCAGUGGGGAAUUUUACGCAAUGGGGGAAACCCUGACGUAGCGACACCGCGUGAGCGAAGAAGCCCUUUGGGGUGUAAAGCUCUGUCAGCUGGAACGAAAACAAUGACGGUACCAGCAGAGGAAGCAUCGGCUAACUACGUGCCAGCAGCCGCGGUAAGACGUAGGAUGCGAGCGUUGUCCGGAUUUAUUGGGCGUAAAGAGUUCGUAGGUGGUUUGUUAAGUUUGGUGUUAAAGAUCGGGGCUCAACCCUGGGACUGCACUGAAUACUGGCAGACUCGAGUGUGGUAGAGGCUAGUGGAAUUCCCAGUGUAGCGGUGAAAUGCGUAGA